AUUGAACGCUGGCGGCAGGCCUAACACAUGCAAGUCGAGCGGAUGACGGGAGCUUGCUCCUUGAUUCAGCGGCGGACGGGUGAGUAAUGCCUAGGAAUCUGCCUGGUAGUGGGGGACAACGUUCCGAAAGGGGCGCUAAUACCGCAUACGUCCUACGGGAGAAAGUGGGGGAUCUUCGGACCUCACGCUAUCAGAUGAGCCUAGGUCGGAUUAGCUAGUUGGCGAGGUAAAGGCUCACCAAGGCGACGAUCCGUAACUGGUCUGAGAGGAUGAUCAGUCACACUGGAACUGAGACACGGUCCAGACUCCUACGGGAGGCAGCAGUGGGGAAUAUUGGACAAUGGGCGAAAGCCUGAUCCAGCCAUGCCGCGUGUGUGAAGAAGGUCUUCGGAUUGUAAAGCACUUUAAGUUGGGAGGAAGGGCAGUAAGUUAAUACCUUGCUGUUUUGACGUUACCGACAGAAUAAGCACCGGCUAACUCUGUG
This 484-nucleotide ribosomal RNA is filed under the name uncultured bacterium. Its description in RNAcentral is "partial 16S ribosomal RNA". It matches the Rfam family "Bacterial small subunit ribosomal RNA", at positions 30 to 507 of the family's 1533-position model. The record is from RNAcentral.